RNAcentral lists this long non-coding RNA (1454 nucleotides) under Bos indicus x Bos taurus (hybrid cattle). Its description in RNAcentral is "lncRNA (ENSBIXG00005008351.1)". Lineage: Eukaryota; Metazoa; Chordata; Mammalia; Artiodactyla; Bovidae. The record is from RNAcentral.
CUCAGAUUCUACCAAUAUGGACAGCACGUAUUACUCAUAUAGUUUGAAGUCUUAGAUCUCCCAGAAAUGUAGAAAAUAUUUUUUGCAGUCAGUGUUACUUCCAGAAGUUGUCUGAAAUUAUGACUCUCCCCCUCUGUUUAGAACCAUAUAAGUCCUGGGGUUUUGUGUCAUGUAAGAAAGGGUUGGGAAUUGAAAAGAACAGCUGUUAGGCUUCUUUCCAACUCUGAAGCCUGGUACUCAAACUAGAUUUAAUUUGAUCUAGAAAAAUGCAAAAAGGUUUUCUGUUGCUUAGGUUGGCUCAAGUCUGUGGAUUGGGGUCUCGUCUGCUUCACCAGUACCAGUGGCUGUCUGGGGCAUGCUAUUCGCAUUGGAGACCACAGAAAUGUAAGUCAGCAGGCCAAACCACACAGACUUAUGUAAAACUUCUGCUUGCAUCACAUUUGCUCACAUUCUGUUGUCCUAUACAAAUCACUUGGCCAAGCCCAACUGUAGUGGGCUGGGAUACAUACUCUGCCUACAGUGGGAGGCAGUGAAAAGUCACAUGGCAAAGAGUGAGGAUGUGCAACUUUAUUAGGAAGUGAGUGAAGAAUUGAGAGUAAUAAUCUUGUAUAUCAUAAACCUCAAAGCAGCUGUGUGGAUUGUCUAUUGUUAACUCACCUUCAUCCCUGGCCCUUAUAUUAAAUGUACCAAUUGCACUGCAUUUCAGGGGUGAAGCUUCACAUAUUAAUUGGCUUUGGCUGCCAUAACAAAACACUAUAGACUGGCCAGCUUAAACAACAGACAUUUAUUUCUCACAGUUCUGGAGGCUGGGAACCUGAGAUCAGGGUGCCAGCAUGGUUGGCUUCUGGUAAGAGCUCUCUGCUUGGCUUGCUGCCUUUUCACAGUGACAUUAUGUGGUGGGUAGAGAGAGGGAGCAAGCUUUCUGGUAUCUUUUUAUAGGAGCACCAAUUCCAUUAUGGGGGGCCCACCCUAAUGACCUUGUUUAUUAAAUCUAAUUAUUUCCUAAAGGGACUGUCUCUAAAUAUCAUCACAUUUGGGGGUUAGGCUGUCAACAUGUGAAUUGUGGGGGGACACAUUUCAGACCAUAGUACCCAAGAGCAAUAUUUUCUGAAACCCCUAGCCUACUGGGUCAGAUUCUGUUAAUGAGAAACACUUAAUUGGGAUAUGCAAUGUUGAAAAUUAGAGGACAUUGUCUGUCAGCAGGUGGGCAGGUAAAAGGCAAAGAGCAUGAAUUUACUUUGAAUUCUGGCUACUUUUCCCAAUCACUUGCUUUGGUGCGGGGGGCAGCUGAGAUGGGCCAUCAGCAGAGGUUUUUCCAUGAUGCUUGUCUUCUCACUUCUGAAAGCAGCGGUUUCCCUGAUUUUGUAAGCACUUAUUAUGUUUUACUGACGUUAAGAUGCCAUCCAUGGUGUCACUAAGAAAGAAAAAAGCUACCAUUAAAAAGCUAAAAUUUU